UGGGAAUUUGAUAGGAUUUCACAGCUGUUU
This 30-nucleotide non-coding RNA is filed under the name Mus musculus (house mouse). Lineage: Eukaryota; Metazoa; Chordata; Mammalia; Rodentia; Muridae. The record is from RNAcentral.